Molecule: long non-coding RNA, 185 nt
Organism: Rhinichthys klamathensis goyatoka
Lineage: Eukaryota; Metazoa; Chordata; Actinopteri; Cypriniformes; Leuciscidae
Exons: 2
Source: RefSeq, a predicted model, not a curated record
AUAAUAUAUAUAUAUAUAUUUGGGGGGCUUUACAAUUCACACAACUGGUCCAAAACUACACUAUGUCCCUGAUGUGCAAUUAGGGCAAAGUUACAAUAACCAAGAGUAAUGUUAAUCUUGUUCAUUUAAGUGCCUUUAACUACUAUAAAUACCCAAUUUAUUCAGUUGGUUUAUUAAUUGUUACA